GCAUAUCAAUAAGCGGAGGAAAAGAAACCAACCGGGAUUGCCUCAGUAACGGCGAGUGAAGCGGCAAGAGCUCAAAUUUGAAAGCUGGCCCCUCCGGGGUCCGCGUUGUAAUUUGCAGAGGAUGCUUUGGGUGCGGCCCCCGUCUAAGUGCCCUGGAACGGGCCGUCAGAGAGGGUGAGAAUCCCGUCUUGGGCGGGGUGUCCGUGCCCGUGUAAAGCUCCUUCGACGAGUCGAGUUGUUUGGGAAUGCAGCUCUAAAUGGGUGGUAAAUUUCAUCUAAAGCUAAAUACUGGCCGGAGACCGAUAGCGCACAAGUAGAGUGAUCGAAAGAUGAAAAGCACUUUGAAAAGAGAGUUAAACAGCACGUGAAAUUGUUGAAAGGGAAGCGCUUGCGACCAGACUCGCCCUCGGGGUUCAGCCGGCACUCGUGCCGGUGUACUUCCCCGGGGGCGGGCCAGCGUCAGCUUGGGCGGCCGGUCAAAGGCCUCCGGAAUGUAGUGCCCCCCGGGGCACCUUAUAGCCGGAGGUGCAAUGCGGCCAGCCUGGGCUGAGGAACGCGCUUCGGCACGGACGCUGGCAUAAUGGUCGCAAACGACCCGUCUUGAAACACGGACCAAGGAGUCUAACAUCUACGCGAGUGUUCGGGUGUCAAACCCGUACGCGCAGUGAAAGCAAACGGAGGUGGGAGCCCCCUCGCGGGGCGCACCAUCGACCGAUCCUGAUGUCUUCGGAUGGAUUUGAGUAAGAGCGUAAAUGUGGGGACCCGAAAGAUGGUGAACUAUGCCUGAAUAGGGCGAAGCCAGAGGAAACUCUGGUGGAGGCUCGCAGCGGUUCUGACGUGCAAAUCGAUCGUCAAAUUUGGGGUAUAGGGGGCGAAAGACUAAUCGAACCAUCUAGUAGCUGGUUCCUGCCGAAGU
RNAcentral lists this ribosomal RNA (916 nucleotides) under Aspergillus aculeatus. Its description in RNAcentral is "LSU rRNA". It matches the Rfam family "Eukaryotic large subunit ribosomal RNA", at positions 38 to 967 of the family's 3401-position model. The record is from RNAcentral. Lineage: Eukaryota; Fungi; Ascomycota; Eurotiomycetes; Eurotiales; Aspergillaceae.